This is a long non-coding RNA of Zingiber officinale, 357 nucleotides long. RefSeq lists it as uncharacterized. The record is from RefSeq and is a predicted model, not a curated record. Lineage: Eukaryota; Viridiplantae; Streptophyta; Magnoliopsida; Zingiberales; Zingiberaceae. The transcript has 3 exons.
UGUUAAUUACCGUAACCCGAAACCUUUUCCCUAAACCUAAUUUUCCUCUCCUUCCUCUCUCCCGACGGCGUUUCUCUUCUCACGCGAGCAGCAGCGAUUCUUUUCUCGGGCGGAGAACAAUGUCACGGCUAGGGCAUAGUUUUCCAGCGGCCGGCCAAGGUUCAUCCGAGAGCUCUUCGCCUUCCCGAGAUCCUCUCACCGAGAAGAAGCUAUAGGCGCAAGGAGAGACCGGGAAACUCGAGCUAGCCGAAACCCUAGAAGUUCUCCUCCUCCGGUUGUGAGACCAAGAAGCCAAAUAAAGGAAAGGAAAAGUUAUAGCAAAGGAAGGCGACAAGGAGAUACAGGAAAGGAAAAGAU